RNA transcript from Passer domesticus (house sparrow), 2146 nucleotides. It is a transcript of the gene named V-set and transmembrane domain containing 5, with no coding region annotated. The record is from RefSeq and is a predicted model, not a curated record. The transcript has 5 exons. NCBI's taxonomy places the organism in Eukaryota, Metazoa, Chordata, Aves, Passeriformes, Passeridae.
GAGCAGCCCCGGCGCCGCGGCGGCAGCGGGAGGAAGAGGAGGGAGAGAAGCGAGGGAGAGGCCUGGGGCAGGCAGCCCCCGGGGCCGGGCCGCGCCGGCCGGCCCAGCCACUUCAAUGCCAGCCCCGGGGCAUCGGCUUCCCGCCCAUGAGACCGCUGCAGGGCUCUCGGGGCCGGAGCGUCGUCGUGGGCACCGUCACCCUCUGCCUGGCCGCCGGGUGGGCUCUGCAGACUCCCGGAGGAGUAUCCUUAGUUGUCCCACAACCCAACAUCAAUGCAACAGUGGCACAAAACAUCCUCCUCUCAGUUGAAUACUCUUGCCGAGGCGUGGCCACCAUUGAGUGGAAGCAUGUGUCAAGCUGGGGCACCACCAGCAUUGUUGAGUGGAGAAGUGGGAAUUAUGUCAACAUAUCCACGGCCUACAAGGACAGAGUGACCACUUUUGAAAAUGGCUCUAUACAGCUUCGGAACGUGGGCAUGAGAGAUGCCGGCUACUAUUUUGUCACUGUAAUGGAGGAACAUGGAACCAAUGCCUAUGGCACCAUCAUAGUCAAUGUUUACGAGAUUAUCUAUGAAGAUUUGCAUUUUGUAGCAGUUCUUUUCGCAUUUCUCGCUGCAGUAUCUGCCAUUCUAAUCUGCUUCAUGUGGCUGUGUAAUAAAUCUCUGCAUCUAUUUCAGAAGAAGACAACACACAAACUAACAGUUGCAGACUCCAACAAACACUGAGUAAUACCAAAACCUGGCACUGAAGACAACAGUCAUGAAAAGCAGGUCAAGGGAGCACAAGGGCUACAAUGAAGGGACAUACCAGCGAAGAAAUUUCCAAGCCACUGCCAGAGAUAUUUGGCCUAGGCAGAAAGAUAAGGUGCACAUUACAGACCUGGGAUCAAGCUCUUAGGCACAUCUUUGAAAUGGGAGGUUUCCUUUACCACUUCAAGAUAUUUCAGAUGUUUACCUCCCUUCUUUCAAGUACAACAGAAGAGAUUGAACUGGAAACCAUUGAGUGUUAGCCAAGGACUGUGUCAUAAUAAAAAUAACAAUUCUACCUCAGGAGAAAGUAUUGGCCAAGAAAGCAAGAACAAACCUAGAAGGUAAAAUGUUUGUGACUACUGCAGAAACAUCCUAACUUGCAAAGUAAUUAAUUCUACCGUGCCUGAUGGAGCUGUUUCAACCUGUUUUCAGUUCUGCUAGUUAAGGUCAGAGUAAAAAAGAGCAUGCUUUCAUGCUGAGCAUAUUUGUGGCUAGCUAAUAAAAUCUACAGCCUCUACCACUCUUAAGCAACCAACCAACCAAGCCUCUAAGAUCAACCCAUAAAGGAAAUUAUCAUGGUCUUGAAGGACACCUACAUUUUGGAUACAGCAAGUCUCCUAUUACAGACAGAGUGGUCAUUAGCAUCCAUCAACAUAAUAAAUUAAAUAUCCAAUUACAGUAUUACAUUAAAAAAAUAUUUGCAAGCAUUGAAUCCUGUUUAUUGCACCUAUGCUGCUACUUUUGGGUGUAAGGAACUUCCUGAAGCUCUGAAGACAAACUGCAAUUUUUCAUAAGACAGAACUGACUUUGAAAGAACGCUGAGCUGGUCAAAGUUCUCCCACUUGUGUUUCCAGUUGUUUACACUGCCCCAGGAUGGAUGUUAACUCACAUUUUAUGACAUUACUAGAGCAAGUGGUUGUACAAGCAACAGUGCAGGCAGGCACUAAAGAGGACACUGUGAAGAUUAGAGGGGUCAGAUAAAACACUGACACACAACACCAGUUGGGAUGGCAAAACACUAAACAGUUUUGUUGUGAAAGAUGUCAAGUCCUUUGCAAACUUAGCCUAGUGCUGAACAAUCUAUCUGAGAAAAAAAGUUAUAACAGCAUUUCUUUGAAAUACAAUAUUUACAAAUACAGUUCUAAAAUUGCUCUUGUUGAGAAGCCAUCUUUGCUUUCCCUAUGUUGUAAGAAAACAUUAAAGUGACCCAACUAAUGUUUUCUUGAAUCUGCAUAUUGCACGUAUUGCAAUUCUCCACCUGUAGAUCUGUUGGGUGGAAUAACACUUGUGUUUGCCAGUGAGAAAGCAGCAAACUGACCAAGUUCCAAAUUAUUCUGUUUUGCUUUUGUAAUGAAAAUUUUGCAGUGUGAAAUAAACUUUGAAUUUGGAAGACAUCA